AUUGAACGCUGGCGGCAGGCCUAACACAUGCAAGUCGAGCGGAUGAAGGGAGCUUGCUCCUGGAUUCAGCGGCGGACGGGUGAGUAAUGCCUAGGAAUCUGCCUGGUAGUGGGGGAUAACGUCCGGAAACGGGCGCUAAUACCGCAUACGUCCUGAGGGAGAAAGUGGGGGAUCUUCGGACCUCACGCCAUCAGAUGAGCCUAGGUCGGAUUAGCUAGUUGGUGGGGUAAAGGCCUACCAAGGCGACGAUCCGUAACUGGUCAGAGAGGAUGAUCAGUCACACUGGAACUGAGACACGGUCCAGACUCCUACGGGAGGCAGCAGAGGGGAAUAUUGGACAAUGGGCGAAAGCCUGAUCCAGCCAUGCCGCGUGUGUGAAGAAGGUCUUCGGAUUGAAAAGCACUUUAAGUUGGGAGGAAGGGCAGUAAGUUAAUACCUUGCUGUUUUGACGUUACCAACAGAAUAAGCACCGGCUAACUUCGUG
RNAcentral lists this ribosomal RNA (484 nucleotides) under uncultured bacterium. RNAcentral's name for it is "partial 16S ribosomal RNA". It matches the Rfam family "Bacterial small subunit ribosomal RNA", at positions 30 to 507 of the family's 1533-position model. The record is from RNAcentral.